This 459-nucleotide ribosomal RNA is filed under the name uncultured bacterium. RNAcentral's name for it is "partial 16S ribosomal RNA". It matches the Rfam family "Bacterial small subunit ribosomal RNA", at positions 338 to 795 of the family's 1533-position model. The record is from RNAcentral.
CCUACGGGUGGCAGCAGUGAGGAAUAUUGGUCAAUGGACGGAAGUCUGAACCAGCCAUGCCGCGUGCAGGAAGACGGCUCUAUGAGUUGUAAACUGCUUUUGUACAAGGGUAAGCCUGAAUACGUGUAUUCCGCUGAAAGUACUUGACGAAUAAGGAUCGGCUAACUCCGUGCCAGCAGCCGCGGUAAUACGGAGGAUCCAAGCGUUAUCCGGAUUUAUUGGGUUUAAAGGGUGCGCAGGCGGGCUGUUAAGCCGGCGGGAAAAAUUCAGGGCUCAACCCUGUUGCGCCGUUGGAACUGGAAGUCUUGAGUGGGCGAGAGGUAUGCGGAAUGCGUGGUGUAGCGGUGAAAUGCAUAGAUAUCACGCAGAACGCCGAUUGCGAAGGCAGCAUACCGGCGCCCAACUGACGCUGAGGCACGAAAGCGUGGGGAUCGAACAGGAUUAGAUACCCGGGUAGUC